Molecule: small nucleolar RNA, 136 nt
Organism: Myotis lucifugus (little brown bat)
Lineage: Eukaryota; Metazoa; Chordata; Mammalia; Chiroptera; Vespertilionidae
Product: small nucleolar RNA SNORA42/SNORA80 family
Source: Ensembl
GUACGGGUUUGGGUUUAUGGCAGGUCCAUGCCCCUUGGUCUCUCAUAGUGAUCCAUGCCAGAGCAAACUGUGGACUUGAACUAUUGCCUGGCCUCUCUGUCCAUUGACUGCAGGCAUUGAAGUGGAUUGCACAGUG